AGGAGGAGGAGGAGGAGGAGGAAGUGAAAGAGCGGGUGGGACUUGAGUGGGACCCACUGGGCAUCUUCUUUGAGAGUUAGGGAUCGCCGAGUCGAAUCCACGUUGACUUAGUCAGCUCAAAGUUGAAUCUCAUUUCACUCUGUUUCGCUUAUUUGUUGAUGUCCACUAUUUCGUCAAAGUGGGAAGAACCGGCCCUGCACCAUGCGAGGCUGCG
RNAcentral lists this unclassified non-coding RNA (214 nucleotides) under Hevea brasiliensis (rubber tree). The record is from RNAcentral. Lineage: Eukaryota; Viridiplantae; Streptophyta; Magnoliopsida; Malpighiales; Euphorbiaceae.